AUCUUUUUAUAUAGUCCAUAAGCAUAAUCAUUGGGUGGUGUUCAUACCAUUGUGUGACAUGUGCCUCCCUCAAACCAUGUUUGUGACCUCGGUGCAUCACCUGUCUGAUG
Molecule: small nucleolar RNA, 110 nt
Filed under: Canis lupus familiaris (dog)
Lineage: Eukaryota; Metazoa; Chordata; Mammalia; Carnivora; Canidae
Also listed under: 1 other name
Description: Small nucleolar RNA U13 (multiple genes)
Rfam family: Small nucleolar RNA U13
Source: Rfam by way of RNAcentral